This 397-nucleotide ribosomal RNA is filed under the name uncultured bacterium. Its description in RNAcentral is "bacterial SSU rRNA". It matches the Rfam family "Bacterial small subunit ribosomal RNA", at positions 62 to 446 of the family's 1533-position model. The record is from RNAcentral.
UCUUUCCUCCCGAGUGCUUGCACUCAAUUGGAAAGAGGAGUGGCGGACGGGUGAGUAACACGUGGGUAACCUACCCAUCAGAGGGGGAUAACACUUGGAAACAGGUGCUAAUACCGCAUAACAGUUUAUGCCGCAUGGCAUAAGAGUGAAAGGCGCUUUCGGGUGUCGCUGAUGGAUGGACCCGCGGUGCAUUAGCUAGUUGGUAAGGUAAAGGCUUACCAAGGCGAUGAUGCAUAGCCGAGUUGAGAGACUGAUCGGCCACAUUGGGACUGAGACACGGCCCAAACUCCUGCGGGAGGCAGCAGUAGGGAAUCUUCCACAAUGGACGCAAGUCUGAUGGAGCAACGCCGCGUGAGUGAAGAAGGUUUUCGGAUCGUAAAGCUCUGUUGUUGGUGAA